GCCUGGGUGGUUUAGUCGUUUGAGCAUCUGACUUCAGCUCAGGUCAUGAUCUCAUGAUUUGUGGGUUUGAGUCCCGCCUCAGGCU
Molecule: transfer RNA, 85 nt
Filed under: Felis catus (domestic cat)
Lineage: Eukaryota; Metazoa; Chordata; Mammalia; Carnivora; Felidae
Also listed under: 4 other names
Rfam family: tRNA
About the family: Transfer RNA (tRNA) molecules are approximately 80 nucleotides in length.
Source: Rfam by way of RNAcentral